AGCAAUAAUAGCUUAAAUUAGAGCAUUGGUCUUGUAAGCCAAAGGUGAAUACAAACAUUCUUAUUGCUU
Molecule: transfer RNA, 69 nt
Filed under: Reishia bronni
Lineage: Eukaryota; Metazoa; Mollusca; Gastropoda; Neogastropoda; Muricidae
Description: tRNA-Thr
Rfam family: tRNA
About the family: Transfer RNA (tRNA) molecules are approximately 80 nucleotides in length.
Source: RNAcentral